GACCGCGUAUAGCUCAGUUGGCAGAGUAUUGGGCUAGUAUUCCAAAGGUCGUAGGUUCCAUUCCCACCGUGGCCA
RNAcentral lists this transfer RNA (75 nucleotides) under Paramuricea clavata. RNAcentral's name for it is "tRNA-Thr". It matches the Rfam family "tRNA". From Rfam's summary of the family: Transfer RNA (tRNA) molecules are approximately 80 nucleotides in length. Their secondary structure includes four short double-helical elements and three loops (D, anti-codon, and T loops). Further hydrogen bonds mediate the characteristic L-shaped molecular structure. tRNAs have two regions of fundamental functional importance: the anti-codon, which is responsible for specific mRNA codon recognition, and the 3' end, to which the tRNAs corresponding amino acid is attached (by aminoacyl-tRNA synthetases). tRNAs cope with the degeneracy of the genetic code in two manners: having more than one tRNA (with a specific anti-codon) for a particular amino acid; and 'wobble' base-pairing, i.e. permitting non-standard base-pairing at the 3rd anti-codon position. The record is from RNAcentral. Lineage: Eukaryota; Metazoa; Cnidaria; Anthozoa; Malacalcyonacea; Plexauridae.